RNAcentral lists this ribosomal RNA (253 nucleotides) under uncultured bacterium. RNAcentral describes it as "partial 16S ribosomal RNA". It matches the Rfam family "Bacterial small subunit ribosomal RNA", at positions 524 to 776 of the family's 1533-position model. The record is from RNAcentral.
UACGAAGGGGCUAGCGUUGCUCGGAAUCACUGGGCGUAAAGGGUGCGUAGGCGGGUCUUUAAGUCAGGGGUGAAAUCCUGGAGCUCAACUCCAGAACUGCCUUUGAUACUGAAGAUCUUGAGUUCGGGAGAGGUGAGUGGAACUGCGAGUGUAGAGGUGAAAUUCGUAGAUAUUCGCAAGAACACCAGUGGCGAAGGCGGCUCACUGGCCCGAGUACUGACGCUGAGGCACGAAAGCGUGGGGAGCAAACAGG